Molecule: ribosomal RNA, 586 nt
Filed under: uncultured bacterium
Lineage: Bacteria
Description: partial 16S ribosomal RNA
Rfam family: Bacterial small subunit ribosomal RNA
Source: RNAcentral
UGGGGAAUAUUGCACAAUGGGCGCAAGCCUGAUGCAGCCAUGCCGCGUGUGUGAAGAAGGCCUUCGGGUUGUAAAGCACUUUCAGCGAGGAGGAAGGUGGUGGACUUAAUACGUUCAUCAAUUGACGUUACUCGCAGAAGAAGCACCGGCUAACUCCGUGCCAGCAGCCGCGGUAAUACGGAGGGUGCAAGCGUUAAUCGGAAUUACUGGGCGUAAAGCGCACGCAGGCGGUUUGUUAAGUCAGAUGUGAAAUCCCCGGGCUCAACCUGGGAACUGCAUUUGAAACUGGCAAGCUAGAGUCUCGUAGAGGGGGGUAGAAUUCCAGGUGUAGCGGUGAAAUGCGUAGAGAUCUGGAGGAAUACCGGUGGCGAAGGCGGCCCCCUGGACGAAGACUGACGCUCAGGUGCGAAAGCGCGGGGAGCAAACAGGAUUAGAUACCCCGGUAGUCCACGCUGUAAACGAUGUCGAUUUUGGAGGUUGUGCCCUUGAGGCGUGGCUUCCGGAGCUAACGCGUUAAAUCGACCGCCUGGGGAGUACGGCCGCAAGUUAAAACUCAAAUGAAUUGACGAGGUCAUAGCUGUUCCUG